Monodelphis domestica (gray short-tailed opossum) is the source of this 638-nucleotide long non-coding RNA. RefSeq lists it as uncharacterized. The record is from RefSeq and is a predicted model, not a curated record. NCBI's taxonomy places the organism in Eukaryota, Metazoa, Chordata, Mammalia, Didelphimorphia, Didelphidae.
GCAGCCUUGAGUUCUUGAAAGUUAUGCCAGUGGAGUGAAGGCAGUAGCAAGUCCAAGUUGGAAAGACUUUGGGCACAGGCUCAAUGAUUAUUAACAGGGUCAUCAUUUGAGAACCAGCUUAGCAGAGACUAGAGAGAUUCAUCACUAGGUAGUCUGUAGGGUAAAUACAAUUUUUAACCACCUGCCACUCACCAAAAUAAUUUAUUAAGUCCCUCUCUUAUUCUGUCCUAAAAUUCCUUUUGGAAUUCUCCUUUUUCCUUAGUUCCUCCUGUGAGAUACCUGAUUGUCAACCUGCAUUUAUUGUAAACUUGCUUCUUAUUUCUCAAUUCUUAUAGGGAGAAAGAUUGUGGACUCAUGCCUAUGAACGUACUCUUUGAAAUAUGGAAGCAUUAUUCUUACGCAAUUGAUGUGUUUUUCAGAUUCCGUGAGUUCCUGAAGGAAAAGGCUGCCCAAACGAGCCUCUGCUGGUCAUCAUUAGUAAACUACAAUCAGGUAGAGGGUACAUCUCUCUUUUCUGUAAAUAAUAAACCAGAUGUUCAGGGGGAAGGAUAUUAAAGAUGUUUGGAUGACUUUUAGGAAGUGUUUGUCACAGAAAAAUGAAAAGUGUCCAUAAAUUUAAAAUAAAGAGAUAACAAAAA